This 468-nucleotide ribosomal RNA is filed under the name uncultured bacterium. Its description in RNAcentral is "partial 16S ribosomal RNA". It matches the Rfam family "Bacterial small subunit ribosomal RNA", at positions 28 to 507 of the family's 1533-position model. The record is from RNAcentral.
GACGAACGCUGGCGGCGUGCCUAACACAUGCAAGUCGAACGGCAACGCCCUGCUUUUGUGGUGUUCUCGAGUGGCGAACGGGUGAGUAACACAUCAGUAACCUUCCCUUGACUUUGGGAUAACCUCAGGAAACUGGGUCUAUUACCCGUUAGGAGCUCCUGCUGCAUGGUGGGGCUUGCAAAGUUUCGGCGGUUGGGGAUGGACUCGCGGCUUAUCAGCUUGUUAGUGGAGUAGUGGCUUACCAAGGCCGUGACGGGUAGCCGGCAUGAGAAGGUGACCCGCGACAUGACGACUGAGGGACGGACCAGAGGGGAAUGGGGGGCAACAGUGGAAAGUAUUACCCAGUAAGCCGGAGCGUGAUAAGACGGCGCCGCGGUCGGGAAGAACUCCUUCCGGUUGUAAACCGCUUUCGCCUAUGACGGAGCGUGGAUGACGGUAAUGGGAGAAGAAGCACCGGCUAACUACGUG